Molecule: ribosomal RNA, 497 nt
Filed under: uncultured bacterium
Lineage: Bacteria
Description: partial 16S ribosomal RNA
Rfam family: Bacterial small subunit ribosomal RNA
Source: RNAcentral
GACGAACGCUGGCGGCGUGCCUAAUACAUGCAAGUUGAGCGCUGAAGGUUGGUACUUGUACCAACUGGAUGAGCAGCGCACGGGUGAGUAACGCGUGGGGAAUCUGCCUUUGAGCGGGGGACAACAUUUGGAAACGAAUGCUAAUACCGCAUAAAAACUUUAAACACAAGUUUUAAGUUUGAAAGAUGCAAUUGCAUCACUCAAAGAUGAUCCCGCGUUGUAUUAGCUAGUUGGUGAGGUAAAGGCUCACCAAGGCGAUGAUACAUAGCCGACCUGAGAGGGUGAUCGGCCACAUUGGGACUGGGACACGGCCCAAACUCCUACGGGAGGCAGCAGUAGGGAAUCUUCGGCAAUGGACGAAAGUCUGACCGAGCAACGCCGCGUGAGUGAAGAAGGUUUUCGGAUCGUAAAACUCUGUUGGUAGAGAAGAACGUUGGUGAGAGUGGAAAGCUCAUCAAGUGACGGUAACUACCCAGAAAGGGACGGCUAACUACGUG